RNAcentral lists this ribosomal RNA (1548 nucleotides) under Desmonostoc sp. SA25. Its description in RNAcentral is "bacterial SSU rRNA". It matches the Rfam family "Bacterial small subunit ribosomal RNA". The record is from RNAcentral. Lineage: Bacteria; Bacillati; Cyanobacteriota; Cyanophyceae; Nostocales; Nostocaceae.
UGGCUCAGGAUGAACGCUGGCGGUAUGCUUAACACAUGCAAGUCGAACGGUGUCUUCGGACAUAGUGGCGGACGGGUGAGUAACGCGUGAGAAUCUAGCUUCAGGUUUGGGACAACCACUGGAAACGGUGGCUAAUACCGAAUGUGCCGAGAGGUGAAAGGCUUGCUGCCUGAAGAUGAGCUCGCGUCUGAUUAGCUAGUAGGUGGGGUAAGAGCCUACCUAGGCGACGAUCAGUAGCUGGUCGAGAGAGGAUGAUCAGCCACACUGGGACUGAGACACGGCCCAGACUCCUACGGGAGGCAGCAGUGGGGAAUUUUCCGCAAUGGGCGAAAGCCUGACGGAGCAAUACCGCGUGAGGGAGGAAGGCUCUUGGGUUGUAAACCUCUUUUCUCAGGGAAGAACACAAUGACGGUACCUGAGGAAUCAGCAUCGGCUAACUCCGUGCCAGCAGCCGCGGUAAUACGGAGGAUGCAAGCGUUAUCCGGAAUGAUUGGGCGUAAAGCGUCCGCAGGUGGCUGUGUAAGUCUGCUGUCAAAGAGCGAAGCUCAACUUCGUAAAGGCAGUGGAAACUACACGGCUAGAGUGCGUUCGGGGCAGAGGGAAUUCCUGGUGUAGCGGUGAAAUGCGUAGAGAUCAGGAAGAACACCGGUGGCGAAGGCGCUCUGCUAGGCCGCAACUGACACUGAGGGACGAAAGCUAGGGGAGCGAAUGGGAUUAGAUACCCCAGUAGUCCUAGCUGUAAACGAUGGAUACUAGGCGUGGCUUGUAUCGACCCGAGCCGUGCCGUAGCUAACGCGUUAAGUAUCCCGCCUGGGGAGUACGCACGCAAGUGUGAAACUCAAAGGAAUUGACGGGGGCCCGCACAAGCGGUGGAGUAUGUGGUUUAAUUCGAUGCAACGCGAAGAACCUUACCAAGGCUUGACAUGUCGCGAAUCUGAUUGAAAGGUCAGAGUGCCUUCGGGAGCGCGAACACAGGUGGUGCAUGGCUGUCGUCAGCUCGUGUCGUGAGAUGUUGGGUUAAGUCCCGCAACGAGCGCAACCCUCGUUUUUAGUUGCCAGCAUUAAGUUGGGCACUCUAGAGAGACUGCCGGUGACAAACCGGAGGAAGGUGGGGAUGACGUCAAGUCAGCAUGCCCCUUACGCCUUGGGCUACACACGUACUACAAUGCUACGGACAGAGGGCAGCAAGCUAGCGAUAGCAAGCUAAUCCCAUAAACCGUGGCUCAGUUCAGAUCGAAGGCUGCAACUCGCCUUCGUGAAGGAGGAAUCGCUAGUAAUUGCAGGUCAGCAUACUGCAGUGAAUUCGUUCCCGGGCCUUGUACACACCGCCCGUCACACCAUGGAAGCUGGCAACGCCCGAAGUCAUUACUCCAACCAUUCGUGGGGGAGGAUGCCUAAGGCAGUGCUGGUGACUGGGGUGAAGUCGUAACAAGGUAGCCGUACCGGAAGGUGUGGCUGGAUCACCUCCUYUUUAGGGAGACCUACACCCCUCAAAUAUUGAAAGCAAAGUGCAAAUAAAUAUKGAGAUGGUCAAACCUAGGUCGGUCG